GGCGACGUGGCCGAGUGGUUGAGGCAAGGGCCCGCAAAGCCCUGAACCCGGGUUCGAUUCCCGGCGUCGCCUCCA
This 75-nucleotide transfer RNA is filed under the name Acidimicrobiia bacterium. RNAcentral's name for it is "tRNA-Cys". It matches the Rfam family "tRNA". From Rfam's summary of the family: Transfer RNA (tRNA) molecules are approximately 80 nucleotides in length. Their secondary structure includes four short double-helical elements and three loops (D, anti-codon, and T loops). Lineage: Bacteria; Bacillati; Actinomycetota; Acidimicrobiia. The record is from RNAcentral.